GGGCCUUUAGCUCAGUUGGUUAGAGCAGACGGCUCAUAACCGUCCGGUCCCGGGUUCGAGCCCCUGAAGGCCCACCA
Molecule: transfer RNA, 77 nt
Filed under: Candidatus Ventrousia excrementavium
Lineage: Bacteria; Bacillati; Bacillota; Clostridia; Eubacteriales; Clostridiaceae
Description: tRNA-Ile
Rfam family: tRNA
About the family: Transfer RNA (tRNA) molecules are approximately 80 nucleotides in length.
Source: RNAcentral